GCGAAUAUUCUCGAGCAAGCCUGCUUCUCCGCCGCUCCUCAGGCUCAUUGUCUCAACAAUGACAAAGAAAGAAAUAUAGUAGAGAUCUCGAAACGAUCUGAUCACGAAUGGUUUUGUCAAAACAAGAGUAAGAAAGAAGGAUCGGAGCAUAAAUUGAUUGUAAAGAGAAAGCGACAGAAAUACAUGCUUCUUUUAUGUACGUUUCGAUUGUCUCAAUUUUCUCAUUUCAGAAGCUUCUGUCUUAUUUUUUCUUUACACAUUCGACCUGAGUCAGCGGCACACGAUGCAUGUUUUCUUGACGGAUUACUUGUGUUCUAGUAAAUUCUUAACAUUGCACCACACAGAGCGCAGAAUUUCUAGUAAUUUACUAAAAUGCAAGCAACCGUGUAAGAAAACACGCAUCGUGUGCCACUAGCUUUACACUUCGAUUUUUAUUUUUGUCAGGAUUGUGUUGAAUAACAACGGAGCUUAUUGGAAAUCCAAUCGUCUCUGAACUUCAUCACGAAUGGUUGAUUGAUAUACCUCUAAAACCGGCGAGAUCCGAAUGGCGAUGGUUUUAUUUAGGUUUAGGUUAUCACAUCGUUGCACAUCGAUGAACGGAACACAGCUUGUUGCGCGGAACAAGUAAACGAGAACGAGCGAGAACGAAGAAGACGUGAUGUGUCAUUCGUACCUAGACCCCUGCAGAGUCCGACCGGAAAGCGAAACAAUAGAGAUCGACGAAUGACAAUUGCAACGUUUCUCUAAACUGACAUGACGACCGAUAAUCCACGGUAAUCAGAUACCGCAUAUAGCUUGCGUGCGUCGUAUAGCUUGGUGUGUACAUAUAUAUAUAUGUAUAUAUGAUAUAUGAUAUAUGAAUAUAGCCUCCCAUUCGCGCGAGCGUAAGCACAAAAAAACUGCAACCAGUAAUAUAAAGCAGCCAGAAAUAGUUGGAUAUACCGAUGAGUUGUUAUU
Molecule: long non-coding RNA, 957 nt
Organism: Acromyrmex echinatior (Panamanian leafcutter ant)
Lineage: Eukaryota; Metazoa; Arthropoda; Insecta; Hymenoptera; Formicidae
Source: RefSeq, a predicted model, not a curated record